AUUGAACGCUGGCGGCAUGCCUUACACAUGCAAGUCGAACGGUAACGCGGGGCAACCUGGCGACGAGUGGCGAACGGGUGAGUAAUGCAUCGGAACGUGCCCAGUAGUGGGGGAUAGCUCGACGAAAGUCGAAUUAAUACCGCAUACGACCUAAGGGUGAAAGGGGGGGAUCGCAAGACCUCUCGCUAUUGGAGCGGCCGAUGUCAGAUUAGGUAGUUGGUAGGGUAAAAGCCUACCAAGCCUAUGAUCUGUAGCUGGUCUGAGAGGACGACCAGCCACACUGGGACUGAGACACGGCCCAGACUCCUACGGGAGGCAGCAGUGGGGAAUUUUGGACAAUGGGCGCAAGCCUGAUCCAGCCAUGCCGCGUGAGUGAAGAAGGCCU
Molecule: ribosomal RNA, 385 nt
Filed under: uncultured bacterium
Lineage: Bacteria
Description: bacterial SSU rRNA
Rfam family: Bacterial small subunit ribosomal RNA
Source: RNAcentral